UAAAAAGACCACAGACUCCUUCAA
RNAcentral lists this non-coding RNA (24 nucleotides) under Arabidopsis thaliana (thale cress). Lineage: Eukaryota; Viridiplantae; Streptophyta; Magnoliopsida; Brassicales; Brassicaceae. The record is from RNAcentral.